This 498-nucleotide ribosomal RNA is filed under the name Teleogryllus oceanicus (black field cricket). RNAcentral describes it as "partial 16S large subunit ribosomal RNA". It matches the Rfam family "Archaeal large subunit ribosomal RNA", at positions 1925 to 2663 of the family's 2987-position model. Lineage: Eukaryota; Metazoa; Arthropoda; Insecta; Orthoptera; Gryllidae. The record is from RNAcentral.
USCUUCUUGAUUUAAUAUGAAGUCGUACCUGCCCAAUGAGGUUUUUAAUGGCCGCGGUAUAUUGACCGUGCAAAGGUAGCAUAAUCAUUAGUCUUUUAAUUGAAGGCUGGAAUGAAUGGUUUGACGAAAUAAUUACUGUCUCGUGAUGAUGACUUGAAUUUUACUUUUGAGUCAAAAGGCUCAAAUGAUAAUAGGGGACGAGAAGACCCUAUAGAUCUUGAUAAUAUGCAUUAAAUUUUUUGUUUAGAUUGUAUUUAAUUAUUUUUAAUGUAUUGUAUUUGGUUGGGGUGACAAGGGAAUAUAAUAACUUCUUAUUAUUUAACUAUGAUGAUUGGUUAAUUGAACCUAUAUUAUGGAAUAAAGAUGAAGAUACCUUAGGGAUAACAGCGUAAUGUUAUUGGAGAGUUCUUAUUGAUAAUAAAGAUUGCGACCUCGAUGUUGGAUUAAGAAAAUUAUUAGGUGCAGAAGCUUAAUUUAUUGGUCUGUUCGACCAUUAAA